Molecule: ribosomal RNA, 208 nt
Filed under: uncultured bacterium
Lineage: Bacteria
Description: partial 16S ribosomal RNA
Rfam family: Bacterial small subunit ribosomal RNA
Source: RNAcentral
UGCGUAGGCGGCCGCUUAAGUAGGGUGUGAAAUGUCCCGGCUCAACCGGGGAAUGGCGCUCUAAACUGGGUGGCUCGAGUGAGAUAGAGGUGUGCGGAACUUCCGGUGGAGCGGUGAAAUGUGUUGAUAUCGGAGGGAACACCAUUGGCGAAAGCGGCACACUGGGUCUUAACUGACGCUGAGGCACGAAAGCCAGGGGAGGCAAACG